UGAACAAGAGAAAAUCUCCCCCUCAUGUCACCGCUCUGAAGAGACAGAGUCAGCGACAGUGGCGGCAGCGAGGGUGGGAAAGGGGCACUUCAGCCAUGGAGAGAACAUUGUUCUUAACAGCACUUCUUUGCCUUGGCUCGGCCUCUAAGGACCAUGCUGCCCUUGGCGUAUAUCAGACCCCGCUCUGUAUCUCUGCGGAUGUGGGGACGGAGCCCAUUAUGGAGUGCAGGUUCCCUCCCAUGGAGGCAAGUGAAAUAGUUUUUAUCUCAUGGUACAAAGAGGGAGAGACACUAAACUCAUCAGACAGCCGCCUCCUACGGUCUGUAACCCUCACAGCAGGGUCUGGUACUCUCAGGAUAUCCCAUGUGCAGACUAAGGAUGCUGGAGUCUAUACCUGUGAGAUGGGGAAUAUCACCCACAGGUCUACCGGGAAUGGCACAAAACUAGAAGUCCAUGAUUCAACCCCACCUACGAAUCAAUCUGCAAUGGAAGGAUGUGUUUGGGUUACUGCACCUCAGGAAGAGAAAGUGGCAACAUCUGUAGGCAUUAAUAUUCUGCUUCUCAGAAGCGUCGUUGGAGCGGUGCUCUUGUUGACUCUAGUGCUUGCGGUCAUCAUCGUCCAUUUCAUGUCAGGUCUCAUUGGAUACUCAGAAUAACCCAACCUGCUGGAAGCAUCAGGACAUCGAAAGGAACAAGCUCUUUGCUCUGCCGCCCCCCCAAAAUCAGCAGUGCCCUACACAAUAUUGAACUGCCAAUCUUGUCCCACUAAUGAGAAAGGAAAACCCAACCUUCCCCUCCCCCUCCAGAGCACCUGGUCACCCAGCAGCUCCUGGCCAUUCACCAGCAGGUGUCUCUCCUA
Molecule: long non-coding RNA, 859 nt
Filed under: Chrysemys picta bellii (western painted turtle)
Lineage: Eukaryota; Metazoa; Chordata; Testudines; Emydidae
Description: lncRNA (ENSCPBG00000022772.1)
Source: RNAcentral